GGGUGAGUAACGCGUGGGGAACCUGCCCCGUACCGGGGGAUAACACCUGGAAACAGGUGCUAAUACCGCAUAACAGAAGGGGACGCAUGUUUCUUUCUUGAAAACUCCGGUGGUACGGGAUGGACCCGCGUCUGAUUAGCUGGUUGGCGGGGUAACGGCCCACCAAGGCGACGAUCAGUAGCCGGCCUGAGAGGGCGGACGGCCACAUUGGGACUGAGACACGGCCCAAACUCCUACGGGAGGCAGCAGUGGGGAAUAUUGCACAAUGGGGGAAACCCUGAUGCAGCGACGCCGCGUGAGUGAAGAAGCGUUUCGGCGCGUAAAGCUCUGUCAGCGGGGAAGAAACACGGUUCGCGAGAGCCGCGGACGGUACCCGACCAAGAAGCCCCGGCUAACUACGUGCCAGCAGCCGCGGUAAUACGUAGGGGGCAAGCGUUAUCCGAAUUCACUGGGUGUAAAGGGAGCGUAGACGGCGAGACAAGUCUGGAGUGAAAGGCCGGGGCCCAACCCCGGGACUGCUCUGGAAACUGCCUGGCUGGAGUACAGGAGAGGUAAGUGGAAUUCCUAGUGUAGCGGUGAAAUGCGUAGAUAUUAGGAGGAACACCAGUGGCGAAGGCGGCUUACUGGACUGUAACUGACGUUGAGGCUCGAAAGCGUGGGGAGCAAACAGGAUUAGAUACCCUGGUAGUCCACGCCGUAAACGAUG
RNAcentral lists this ribosomal RNA (706 nucleotides) under uncultured bacterium. RNAcentral's name for it is "bacterial SSU rRNA". It matches the Rfam family "Bacterial small subunit ribosomal RNA", at positions 104 to 811 of the family's 1533-position model. The record is from RNAcentral.